UUGAGGGCAAUCUGGCUGCGACAUCUGUGACUCCAUCGAUCAUGAGGGUUGAUUCAGCUGAUUUGAUUGGCUAGGCAGGUGUCCCCUUCCUCCCUUACUGCUUUAUGUGUGUCCCCUCCAAAGCUCAGUCAAAGAGGAUGACCUUUCCCAAAUAGAGGAGGAUGGGUCUUUGGUCAAGGACAUAGAAAUAGUUAUAUUCCCCUACUAGAAUCUCCAAACAAUCUCUCAAGAGUAACAUUUUUAUAGCCUUGAUGCUUCAGUAUUUACUGUUUUACCAAGUGUCAUAAGAGUAAGGUUGCCUGCUUCCUUCU
This is an unclassified non-coding RNA of Mesocricetus auratus (golden hamster), 311 nucleotides long. Its record names the gene 7SK. It matches the Rfam family "7SK RNA". Rfam says of the family: 7SK was discovered as an abundant small nuclear RNA in the mid-70s but a possible function has only recently been suggested. Two independent studies have found that 7SK RNA binds the CDK9/cyclin T complex (known as elongation factor P-TEFb). P-TEFb activates transcription by phosphorylating the C-terminal domain of RNA polymerase II. NCBI's taxonomy places the organism in Eukaryota, Metazoa, Chordata, Mammalia, Rodentia, Cricetidae. The record is from Ensembl.